Molecule: ribosomal RNA, 497 nt
Filed under: uncultured bacterium
Lineage: Bacteria
Description: partial 16S ribosomal RNA
Rfam family: Bacterial small subunit ribosomal RNA
Source: RNAcentral
GAUGAACGCUGGCGGCGUGCCUAAUACAUGCAAGUCGAGCGAACAGACGAGGAGCUUGCUCCUCUGACGUUAGCGGCGGACGGGCGAGUAACACGUGGAUAACCUCCCUAUAAGACUGGGAUACCUUCGGGAAACCGGAGCUAUUACCGGAUAAUAUAUUGACCCGCAUGGUUCAAUAGUGAAAGACGGUUUUGCUGUCAUUUAUAGUUGGAUCCGCGCCGCAUUAGCUAGUUGGUAAGGUAACGGCUUACCAAGGCGACGAUGCGUAGCCGACCUGAGAGGGUGAUCGGCCACACUAGAACUGAGACACGGUCCAGACUCCUACGGGAGGCAGCAGUAGGGAAUCUUCCGCAAUGGGCGAAAGCCUGACGGAGCAACGCCGCGUGAGUGAUGAAGGUCUUCGGAUCGUAAAACUCUGUUAUUAGGGAAGAACAAAUGUGUAAGUAACUAUGCACGUCUUGACGGUACCUAAUCAGAAAGCCACGGCUAACUACGUG